GUAGUCCGCACAGUAAACUAUGGAUACUCGCUGUCGGCGACAGACUGUCGGUGGCCAAGCGAAAGCGUUAAGUAUCCCACCUGGGGAGUACGCCGGCAACGGUGAAACUCAAAGGAAUUGACGGGGGCCCGCACAAGCGGAGGAACAUGUGGUUUAAUUCGAUGAUACGCGAGGAACCUUACCCGGGCUUGAAUUGCACAGGACGGCGUCGGAGACGGCGUUUCCCUUCGGGGUCUGUGUGAAGGUGCUGCAUGGUUGUCGUCAGCUCGUGCCGUAAGGUGUCGGCUUAAGUGCCAUAACGAGCGCAACCCUUGCCGUUAGUUGCCAUCAGGUGAUGCUGGGCACUCUAG
RNAcentral lists this ribosomal RNA (350 nucleotides) under uncultured Bacteroidales bacterium. RNAcentral describes it as "bacterial SSU rRNA". It matches the Rfam family "Bacterial small subunit ribosomal RNA", at positions 790 to 1143 of the family's 1533-position model. Lineage: Bacteria; Pseudomonadati; Bacteroidota; Bacteroidia; Bacteroidales. The record is from RNAcentral.